AAGGAUGGAAGAGGAAAAAAAAAAACUUCUAGCAAUUCUGCUUCUGAACAUCCUAUACAAUGUGCAGGGGAAGUUUCCAGCAGACAAAGACAAGAACAUGACGGCCAAGCAAGAAAGAGUCCAAGACAAACAGCCAGAUGGGAGUAGAUGGAGAACAGAAGGCGUAG
Molecule: long non-coding RNA, 167 nt
Organism: Pantherophis guttatus
Lineage: Eukaryota; Metazoa; Chordata; Lepidosauria; Squamata; Colubridae
Source: RefSeq, a predicted model, not a curated record